RNAcentral lists this ribosomal RNA (415 nucleotides) under uncultured bacterium. Its description in RNAcentral is "bacterial SSU rRNA". It matches the Rfam family "Bacterial small subunit ribosomal RNA", at positions 94 to 518 of the family's 1533-position model. The record is from RNAcentral.
AGUGGCGGACGGGUGAGUAACGCGUGGAUAACCUGCCGUUAAUGACCGGGAUAACACCGGGAAACUGGUGCUAAUACGGGAUACGCUCAAGUGAACACAUGUUUGUUUGAGGAAAAGGAGCAAUCCGCAUUAAGAUGGGUCCGCGUCCCAUUAGCUAGUUGGAGGUGUAAGAGACCCCCAAGGCGACGAUGGGUAGCCGGCCUGAGAGGGUGAACGGCCACACUGGAACUGAGACACGGUCCAGACUCCUACGGGAGGCAGCAGUGGGGAAUCUUCCGGCAAUGGGCGAAAGCCCUGACGGAGCAACGCCGCGUGAAUGAUGAAGGCCUUCGGGUUGUAAAAUUCUGUCUUCAGGGAAGAAACAAAUGACGGUACCUGAGGAGGAAGCCCCGGCUAACUACGUGCCAGCCGCUGC